UACGAAGGGGGCUAGCGUUGCUCGGAAUCACUGGGCGUAAAGCGCACGUAGGCGGCUUUCUAAGUCAGGGGUGAAAUCCUGGAGCUCAACUCCAGAACUGCCUUUGAUACUGGAGAGCUUGAGUCCGGAAGAGGUGAGUGGAACUCCGAGUGUAGAGGUGAAAUUCGUAGAUAUUCGGAAGAACACCAGUGGCGAAGGCGGCUCUCUGGGCCUUACCUGACGCUGAGGAGCGAAAGCGUGGGUAGCGAACAGG
This 253-nucleotide ribosomal RNA is filed under the name uncultured bacterium. RNAcentral describes it as "partial 16S ribosomal RNA". It matches the Rfam family "Bacterial small subunit ribosomal RNA", at positions 524 to 776 of the family's 1533-position model. The record is from RNAcentral.